GAUGAACGCUGGCGGCGUGCCUAAUACAUGCAAGUCGAGCGAACGGACGAGAAGCUUGCUUCUCUGAUGUUAGCGGCGGACGGGUGAGUAACACGUGGAUAACCUACCUAUAAGACUGGGAUAACUUCGGGAAACCGGAGCUAAUACCGGAUAAUAUUUUGAACCGCAUGGCUCAAAAGUGAAAGACGGUCUUGCUGUCACUUAUAGAUGGAUCCGCGCUGCAUUAGCUAGUUGGUAAGGUAACGGCUUACCAAGGCAACGAUGCAUAGCCGACCUGAGAGGGUGAUCGGCCACACUGGAACUGAGACACGGUCCAGACUCCUACGGGAGGCAGCAGUAGGGAAUCUUCCGCAAUGGGCGAAAGCCUGACGGAGCAACGCCGCGUGAGUGAUGAAGGUCUUCGGAUCGUAAAACUCUGUUAUUAGGGAAGAACAUAUGUGUAAGUAACUGUGCACAUCUUGACGGUACCUAAUCAGAAAGCCACGGCUAACUACGUGCCAGCAGCCGCGGUAAUACGUAGGUGGCAAGCGUUAUCCGGAAUUAUUGGGCGUAAAGCGCGCGUAGGCGGUUUUUUAAGUCUGAUGUGAAAGCCCACGGCUCAACCGUGGAGGGUCAUUGGAAACUGGAAAACUUGAGUGCAGAAGAGGAAAGUGGAAUUCCAUGUGUAGCGGUGAAAUGCGCAGAGAUAUGGAGGAACACCAGUGGCGAAGGCGACUUUCUGGUCUGUAACUGACGCUGAUGUGCGAAAGCGUGGGGAUCAAACAGGAUUAGAUACCCUGGUAGUCCACGCCGUAAACGAUGAGUGCUAAGUGUUAGGGGGUUUCCGCCCCUUAGUGCUGCAGCUAACGCAUUAAGCACUCCGCCUGGGGAGUACGACCGCAAGGUUGAAACUCAAAGGAAUUGACGGGGACCCGCACAAGCGGUGGAGCAUGUGGUUUAAUUCGAAGCAACGCGAAGAACCUUACCAAAUCUUGACAUCCUUUGACAACUCUAGAGAUAGAGCCUUCCCCUUCGGGGGACAAAGUGACAGGUGGUGCAUGGUUGUCGUCAGCUCGUGUCGUGAGAUGUUGGGUUAAGUCCCGCAACGAGCGCAACCCUUAAGCUUAGUUGCCAUCAUUAAGUUGGGCACUCUAAGUUGACUGCCGGUGACAAACCGGAGGAAGGUGGGGAUGACGUCAAAUCAUCAUGCCCCUUAUGAUUUGGGCUACACACGUGCUACAAUGGACAAUACAAAGGGCAGCGAAACCGCGAGGUCAAGCAAAUCCCAUAAAGUUGUUCUCAGUUCGGAUUGUAGUCUGCAACUCGACUACAUGAAGCUGGAAUCGCUAGUAAUCGUAGAUCAGCAUGCUACGGUGAAUACGUUCCCGGGUCU
This 1372-nucleotide ribosomal RNA is filed under the name uncultured bacterium. Its description in RNAcentral is "bacterial SSU rRNA". It matches the Rfam family "Bacterial small subunit ribosomal RNA", at positions 28 to 1381 of the family's 1533-position model. The record is from RNAcentral.